GUGAUGCUGAUACAGAAUACUUACAAGCAUGGCACAUCAGAGAUGACUGCAUUUCAGUGGUGAAAGAAGUGAUGUGUGUGUAUGUGUAUGCAUAUCAGUUGUCUUAAAAGAGCUUUGGAGCCUUUAGGAGUAAAGGGGCUCCACUACUAAACCUGAAAGAUAUUGGCAGAAUCACAGGAAGACAGAACCAUACAAACAGAUGUCCAAUGGAGCUGUUCUACCAGGAACUUCUCUUGGCCACAGCUGAUCAGGGAUUCCUUUAGAGAGAGAUUUCCAUCAUGCAGGACACACUGUGGGAAGGGAGAUCCUGACCUCAUGAAAGGCAUGCUGCAAAGCAAUAAAAGGAAGGGAGAUUGCAGAGGAAGGAUGAGAUCUAGAUGUGAUCUGGAGUGCAUUGUAUGGCCCUAUAUUAUUAGGUAUUUUUAUUUUGUUCUUGUUGUGUUUUGCCAAAAGAGAAAUUAUACUCUAAUUAGGAGAGGUUCAUCUUACAGAAAAAUAGAUAUUGCAAAAUUGAAUACAUUUUUGUCUCAGAGUGACU
Long non-coding RNA from Mauremys reevesii (Reeves's turtle), 538 nucleotides. RefSeq lists it as uncharacterized. The transcript is spliced from 3 exons. Lineage: Eukaryota; Metazoa; Chordata; Testudines; Geoemydidae. The record is from RefSeq and is a predicted model, not a curated record.